This 172-nucleotide ribosomal RNA is filed under the name uncultured soil bacterium. RNAcentral describes it as "partial 16S ribosomal RNA". It matches the Rfam family "Bacterial small subunit ribosomal RNA", at positions 26 to 208 of the family's 1533-position model. The record is from RNAcentral.
AGAUUGAACGCUGGCGGCAGGCCUAACACAUGCAAGUCGAGCGGCAGCACGGGUACUUGUACCUGGUGGCGAGCGGCGGACGGGUGAGUAAUGCCUAGGAAUCUGCCUGGUAGUGGGGGAUAACGCUCGGAAACGGACGCUAAUACCGCAUACGUCCGUACGGGAGAAACGC